UUCAAUUUUGAAUGAAAUCAAACAAAGAUUAAUUUUGGACCCUUUUGACCUCAAUAUGAACCAAUUUGAUAGUGGGGCCCACAAAUUAAAAAUCUAAAUACAUGGUAAGAUUCAGCAUAUCAAAGAACCCCAUAUAUUCAAUUUUUGUUGAAAUCAAACAAAGUUUAAUUUUGGAACCCC
This is a long non-coding RNA of Mytilus californianus (California mussel), 180 nucleotides long. RefSeq lists it as uncharacterized. The record is from RefSeq and is a predicted model, not a curated record. Lineage: Eukaryota; Metazoa; Mollusca; Bivalvia; Mytilida; Mytilidae. The transcript is spliced from 2 exons.